CCUACGGGAGGCAGCAGUGAGGAAUAUUGGUCAAUGGGCUUACGCCUGAACCAGCCAAGUCGCGUGAGGGAAGACUGCCCUAUGGGUUGUAAACCUCUUUUGUCAGGGAGCAACGCCGGCUACGUGUAGCCGGACUGAGAGUACCUGAAGAAAAAGCAUCGGCUAACUACGUGCCAGCAACCGCGGUAAUACGUAGGUGGCAAGCGUUGUCCGGAUUUAUUGGGCGUAAAGCGAGUGCAGGCGGUUCAAUAAGUCUGAU
This 259-nucleotide ribosomal RNA is filed under the name uncultured bacterium. Its description in RNAcentral is "partial 16S ribosomal RNA". It matches the Rfam family "Bacterial small subunit ribosomal RNA", at positions 338 to 593 of the family's 1533-position model. The record is from RNAcentral.